UGGCUAAUUUUUAAAGGAACAUAGACAAAGUGAGGCUAAUAAAGCACUUAUUUUCUCAAAUUGUUAAAAAAAAAUGGUGCAGUUAUAUCAUGACUAAUUCCACAAUGAAAAUGAAUACUGCAUAUUUUCUACUUUUAUAAAGAAGAAAAAGAAAAAGAAAAUGCAAGAAAUUUCUUGAAACUUUCACAUCUCUUUUGUGACCCAGAACUGUAAUGAGAGCAAUAGGCAGAAUGAAUGCUAUUACUGGAGGUUGUGUGUUUGACAUAUCAGCCUUUGCAUUUGCCUUCUAAAGUGGCGAUAUUGGUCAAGGAGAAAGCUCACAAAAUCUACGAAAUUAAUGAAGUCUAGACUUUUAAGGACUUGAAAAUGGAUGACAAGGAUGAUAAAAUACCUUGAAUUUUCAAGGGGAUUUUGGGAAAUUGUUCUCAGAACAAAAUGUAGAGUUUUAGUAGUUGACUUAUUUGUUCUUUGCUGAUAACAUGCUCUCCACAUACCCCAUCCCCAUCUCUCAAAUCACACAAUUUGUAUUUGGUGAGGAUAAAAAGAGAGUACUAGGAAAGUGAGGAUGGCUUACAAAAUCUUUGUACAGAAAUAAUUGAGUCAAGUGUAGACUUCAACAUUUCUGAUAUCAGUAGUUAAGAGGUAGAAAGUGAAAUCAAUAUUGUAUUUUAAAUUCUACCUAUAAUCUGUGUCUAUUUUUGUUAUCUCAAGUGCUAGGGACCAUGCUACAUGAGAGUCUGUCCUUGGUAACUGUAACAGUGAUUAUUCUCAAAGUUGGUUAAAAUAAACAGAAUGGAGCAUAUUGAAAUAGUGAGUGUCAAAAAUUCAAAAAGACUUGUUUGGAAAAAGAAUGCAUACUCCAUUUAGCCAAACAAAACAGCCCAUUAGCUCUUGCAUUACAAAUUUAACCAAGCAGAAUGAUUUUCUAUAUGGAUAGAAAUAAAUUUUUUCAUUAUUGAAGAACUAUGUU
Molecule: long non-coding RNA, 970 nt
Organism: Tupaia belangeri chinensis (Chinese tree shrew)
Lineage: Eukaryota; Metazoa; Chordata; Mammalia; Scandentia; Tupaiidae
Exons: 4
Source: RefSeq, a predicted model, not a curated record